GGGCGUGUAGCUCAGUUGGUAGAGCGUGUCAUUAGCAUCUUCUACCUAUCUUGACAAGGUCUUUGGUUCGAUUCCUAACUCGUCCA
RNAcentral lists this transfer RNA (86 nucleotides) under Apiotrichum porosum. Its description in RNAcentral is "Trichosporon porosum tRNA". It matches the Rfam family "tRNA". From Rfam's summary of the family: Transfer RNA (tRNA) molecules are approximately 80 nucleotides in length. Their secondary structure includes four short double-helical elements and three loops (D, anti-codon, and T loops). The record is from Rfam by way of RNAcentral. Lineage: Eukaryota; Fungi; Basidiomycota; Tremellomycetes; Trichosporonales; Trichosporonaceae.